GAGGGUAUAGCUCAGUGGUAGAGCACGUGCUUAGCAUGCACAAGGUCCUGGGUUCACUUCUCAGUACUCCCA
Molecule: transfer RNA, 72 nt
Organism: Camelus ferus (Wild Bactrian camel)
Lineage: Eukaryota; Metazoa; Chordata; Mammalia; Artiodactyla; Camelidae
Rfam family: tRNA
About the family: Transfer RNA (tRNA) molecules are approximately 80 nucleotides in length. Their secondary structure includes four short double-helical elements and three loops (D, anti-codon, and T loops).
Source: Rfam